RNAcentral lists this ribosomal RNA (806 nucleotides) under uncultured bacterium. RNAcentral's name for it is "bacterial SSU rRNA". It matches the Rfam family "Bacterial small subunit ribosomal RNA", at positions 8 to 807 of the family's 1533-position model. The record is from RNAcentral.
AGAGUUUGAUCCUGGCUCAGGAUGAACGCUGGCGGCGUGCUUAACACAUGCAAGUCGAACGGGCUCAUAUUGAAACCUAGUGAUUUAUGAGUUAGUGGCGGACGGGUGAGUAACGCGUGGAAAACCUGCCGUAUACUGGGGGAUAACACUUAGAAAUAGGUGCUAAUACCGCAUAAGCGCACAGCUUCGCAUGAAGUGGUGUGAAAAACUCCGGUGGUAUACGAUGGUUCCGCGUUUGAUAAGCUUGUUGGCGGGGUAAUGGCUCACCAAGGCGACGAUCAGUAGCCGGCCUGAGAGGGUGAACGGCCACAUUGGGACUGAGACACGGCCCAAACUCCUACGGGAGGCAGCAGUGGGGAAUAUUGCACAAUGGGGGAAACCCUGAUGCAGCGACGCCGCGUGAGUGAAGAAGUAUUUCGGUAUGUAAAGCUCUAUCAGCAGGGAAGAAAUAGCGACCUUUGGGUCGCCAGACGGUACCUGAUUAAGAAGCCCCGGCUAACUACGUGCCAGCAGCCGCGGUAAUACGUAGGGGGCAAGCGUUAUCCGGAUUUACUGGGUGUAAAGGGAGCGUAGACGGCAGCACAAGUCUGAAGUGAAAUGCCGGGGCUUAACCUCGGAACUGCUUUGGAAACUGUGCAGCUAGAGUGCAGGAGAGGUAAGUGGAAUUCCUAGUGUAGCGGUGAAAUGCGUAGAUAUUAGGAGGAACACCAGUGGCGAAGGCGGCUUACUGGACUGUAACUGACGUUGAGGCUCGAAAGCGUGGGGAGCAAACAGGAUUAGAUUCCCUGGUAGUCCACGCUGUAAAC